UACGUAGGGUGCAAGCGUUGUCCGGAAUUAUUGGGCGUAAAGAGCUCGUAGGCGGUUUGUCGCGUCUGCUGUGAAAACUCGGGGCUUAACCCCGGGCCUGCAGUGGGUACGGGCAGACUAGAGUGCGGUAGGGGAGACUGGAAUUCCUGGUGUAGCGGUGAAAUGCGCAGAUAUCAGGAGGAACACCGAUGGCGAAGGCAGGUCUCUGGGCAUUAACUGACGCUGAGGAGCGAAAGCGUGGGGAGCAAACAGG
Molecule: ribosomal RNA, 253 nt
Filed under: uncultured bacterium
Lineage: Bacteria
Description: partial 16S ribosomal RNA
Rfam family: Bacterial small subunit ribosomal RNA
Source: RNAcentral